GCUACUCUUGAGAGCGGCGCACGGGUGCGGAACACGUGUGCAACCUGCCUUUAUCUGGGGGAUAGCCUUUCGAAAGGAAGAUUAAUACCCCAUAAUAUAAUGAAUGGCAUCAUUUAUUAUUGAAAACUCCGGUGGAUAGAGAUGGGCACGCGCAAGAUUAGUUAGUUGGUGAGGUAACGGCUCACCAAGACGAUGAUCUUUAGGGGGCCUGAGAGGGUGAUCCCCCACACUGGUACUGAGACACGGACCAGACUCCUACGGGAGGCAGCAGUGAGGAAUAUUGGACAAUGGGUUAGCGCCUGAUCCAGCCAUCCCGCGUGAAGGACGACGGCCCUAUGGGUUGUAAACUUCUUUUGU
Molecule: ribosomal RNA, 357 nt
Filed under: Chryseobacterium taichungense
Lineage: Bacteria; Pseudomonadati; Bacteroidota; Flavobacteriia; Flavobacteriales; Weeksellaceae
Description: bacterial SSU rRNA
Rfam family: Bacterial small subunit ribosomal RNA
Source: RNAcentral